Molecule: non-coding RNA, 121 nt
Organism: Ceratobasidium sp. AG-Ba
Lineage: Eukaryota; Fungi; Basidiomycota; Agaricomycetes; Cantharellales; Ceratobasidiaceae
Source: the annotation of a GenBank genome assembly
GCGUGGGUAGUAUAAUGGUUAUUAUCUCGGUUUCCCAUCAUAUGGCCCGGUGAAAAUCGGGAUUCAGGCAGCAAUAGCUUACGUCAUACCGAGGAACCGGGUUCGAUUCCCGGCUCACGCA